This 905-nucleotide ribosomal RNA is filed under the name Ralstonia insidiosa. RNAcentral's name for it is "bacterial SSU rRNA". It matches the Rfam family "Bacterial small subunit ribosomal RNA", at positions 1 to 883 of the family's 1533-position model. The record is from RNAcentral. Lineage: Bacteria; Pseudomonadati; Pseudomonadota; Betaproteobacteria; Burkholderiales; Burkholderiaceae.
AUUUUUUUUUUUUUUUUUUUUAGAUUUUGUUUCUUGCUCAGAUUGAACGCUGGCGGCAUGCCUUACACAUGCAAGUCGAACGGCAGCAUGAUCUAGCUUGCUAGAUUGAUGGCGAGUGGCGAACGGGUGAGUAAUACAUCGGAACGUGCCCUGUAGUGGGGGAUAACUAGUCGAAAGAUUAGCUAAUACCGCAUACGACCUGAGGGUGAAAGUGGGGGACCGCAAGUCCUCAUGCUAUAGGAGCGGCCGAUGUCUGAUUAGCUAGUUGGUGGGGUAAAGGCCCACCAAGGCGACGAUCAGUAGCUGGUCUGAGAGGACGAUCACCCACACUGGGACUGAGACACGGCCCAGACUCCUACGGGAGGCAGCAGUGGGGAAUUUUGGACAAUGGGGGCAACCCUGAUCCAGCAAUGCCGCGUGUGUGAAGAAGGCCUUCGGGUUGUAAAGCACUUUUGUCCGGAAAGAAAUCGCACUUAUUAAUAUUAGGUGUGGAUGACGGUACCGGAAGAAUAAGGCCCGGCUAACUACGUGCCAGCAGCCGCGGUAAUACGUAGGGUCCAAGCGUUAAUCGGAAUUACUGGGCGUAAAGCGUGCGCAGGCGGUUGUGCAAGACCGAUGUGAAAUCCCCGGGCUUACCCUGGGAAUUGCAUUGGUGACUGCACGGCUAGAGUGUGUCAGAGGGGGGUAGAAUUCCGCGUGUAGCAGUGAAAUGCGUAGAGAUGUGGAGGAAUACCGAUGGCGAAGGCAGCCCCCUGGGAUAACACUGACGCUCAUGCACGAAAGCGUGGGGAGCAAACAGGAUUAGAUCCCCUGGUAGUCCACGCCCUAAACGAUGUCAACUAGUUGUUGGGGAUUCAUUUCCUUAGUAACGUAGCUAACGCGUGAAGUUGACCGCAUGGGAGUCU